AAAAACUUAAAACCUGGUCCCAAAAACCAAUAUUUCAUAGGGAGCUAUAGGUGCGAACCUAUUAAAAAUGAAAUAGCUCCAAAAAGUUCCCUCUUACUCUAAAAUCCCUAAAUCCCUGAGCGGCAACUUUCAUCAAUCGGAAUCCUAAAAUUCAUCUCUCUCAACCCCUCUUGUCUACCAUUGGAAUUAUCAGGCUUAGUAAUCAAGAGUAAGUUAAUUUCUUUCUCUUCUUUUAUCUGAUUCAUGCCCUUCUUCUUCAUCUUUUUUUUUUUUGCGAUGGAAACCAAAAACAAUUAUGUUUCUAUUGGUCUUCUGCAAUUAGGUUUCUUAUAGUACUGAUUGUUGUUGCGUGAGGGCUAAAAGUGAGAGUAUUGGGUUUAAAGCUAGGGCUCGGGGGUUAAGGAGGAGAAACUUGAGCAUUUAUUGUAGGAUUUCGUCUACGCGAUUUGCUAUCGAUGUUUGCGUUUAGGAUCUUUAACAGGGAGAAAGAAGAAUGUUGAAUGCAGAUUAAAAGUUGUGUUUCCCUUCUUUUAUUUUGGGAUUCUUCCCAAGUUUUAUACUAUAACAUGAAUCAUUUGAGAAAUGACUUUGUGGGUUGCUUCUAUGAGUGCGUAGUUUUACUUCUAUUAAGUUAUAUGUCUAAGCUGGUUUGUGAUGUUUUCUUCUGUUUUUAGCCCAACUCUUACUUUGAUUUUGUAGUUUUCUUAUGUGGGUAUAUUUUAUUCUUCUAUUUUAGUGAAGUUAUAAAAUGUGUCUUUGUGUAAGUCUGUUGCGUUUGGCCAAAACAUUACUUCAGCUUUGAGCAUUAUAUUAUAGACUCGGUUUUGAUUGAAAAUUUUAGUUUUGAUGGAGUGCAAAUUUUGCUUUGUCACUGCAUAAAUAAAGCCUAUUAUUUGUUUUUUGUAUAUGCUGAAGAAAAUUACUAUUCCCGUGUUCUUGUGCAUGCCAGUAGGUUGUUUUAGUUCUCCUUAGUCAUUACAGUUUUUUUUUAAACUGUGGAAUAGUUAGUGUAUCAUAUUUUUAUCUAAGAAAACUAAGAUAGUAAAUCAGUGACUUAGCUUUAAACUGAUUUGUGUGUAUUAAUUUCUCAUAUUCUUGAGCAAUUGUGAGUUAUACGUUAUGCAUAUCAGUCUAUAGUUUAUUUCAUUCUUGUGAUAUCGUAGUAAGUUUUAAUAAGAUGGAUGAGUUAUCAAGUUUAAUAAAAAUAAAUAUGCAUCUUAGAAGAGUGAUUUUGUUUCAAUGUAAUUGGUUUGAUGUGUAUGAUAAAACUAAAGGAAUUAAAGAAGAUGAAUAUGGCAUUGUAUUUGUGGAGGUGGGAUCUAUCCUCCGGAGUGGUAUUUGUGCUAGUCAAAGUAUGCCACCACUUUCAAACAUUAGGAAAAUAGAUUCUACCAUGUCUGUUCAAGGAAUGCGAGCUGAUAUUCCAAGUUUUCCAUCUACUGAUGAAGUUAUGCAGUACACCCAAACAUUUGAAAUAGGUAUGAUUCUCAAAUUUAUCAUGUUAUUAAUUUGUACAACUAAAUUGUCCUUUAAGUUUCCAUAACCUGGUACACAAAUUGUCCUCUAAGUUUUCAUAACCAGUGCACUUUUGUCUUGGAUUAAUAUUUCCUUGUAGAACUAACAAAGUACUCAAGUGAUCCAUACCAUUGUAGUUUUCUGGUGCAGUUCCUCACCUGAUAUUAUACUCUAAUAUAUCUUGCUGGUAGAGUUUCAUUUGGGAUACAAUGUAAGUUCUUGAAAGAUGGACAUUUAUAUAUAUUGCAUGUAUAGGUCAGUUUUGGUACAUGUAAAGGAUAUUGCUGAUGCAGUUUAGGUGAGAAUGCAGUGUUUGUUUUUAAUAGCUGUUCAUUUUUGUCGAGUCUGAAAUACUAUUAAGCUUUGGUCCAUCUUUAGGUACCCAAAUUACUGUUUUUUUUUGUGCAUAUUCUGCUGGAGUGAUGAUUCUAUUUUGAUCUAUGAAUUGGUGCAGUUUUACUCUAUAAAACGGUGCAAUUUUUCUGAUGCUUGGUUCUGCAAGUUCGUGCAUUUUGUUUUUUUGGGAUGACUCUAACAGGAUGGAAUUGUUUUCUAGACACAGAUCUCUAAUACUUGGAUAGAAUAUUUCUGUACAGAGGAUUAUAAGCAGAUGUGGUCUUGAAGUGAUGUAAAAUUUUGUUACUAGAUUUUACAUGGAACUAGAUAAAUUUGAGAGCGAUGACAUGAAUAUUCAGCGCGAUCAUAUUUUGGGAUGGAUGAAAGAAUUAUGGAACAAAUGGAGAGGAAAAUUACACGAAAAGUACGUGAAGGGCUAAGUGAGAUUAUUUAUCAAAUAGAGCUAAGUUAAAGAUGCUUCAUCAUAGUGGUAGCAAGGCCAUUAGAGAGAUUAAUUAUCAAAAGGCUCAAAUUCAAGAAUUGGUGCAGUCCGAACCAUCUCUUCCUAGCAUAGAGGUUGUAGAAAAAUGCUUUGGACCUCAAACUCGUAGCCAUGUAUUUGGCUUUGGAGGUGGAGUAAAGGUGAAAGAUUUAGUAAAGGCGAAAGAUUUCAAAGGUUGGACAUCUUCAAAGGAUGAGUUGUUGUCUGAGCUACGUUCAACUCAAGCAGAAAAUCAAUCUUUGAAAGAUCGUUUGUCUAACUUUGAAACUGAGAUGAAAGAAAUGAAGCAAUUAAAAGAGUUGUUAUUAGCUCAACACCGUAAUUUCCAACCUCCGACAUCAUCUAUUUUAGGAGAAUGACUGUUCCUUUGAUGAUACCAAGUUAUGGAAACUGAUGUUUACGAUAAGCAGAUCUUUCAGGACGUACAGAUUGACUAUCAUUUUGCUAUGGAUAUUAACUAUAUAGGUUUUAUGCUCAGGGUUAUGUACGAGAUACUAUGAUGACUAGCAUACAUCAUUGAUAUACAUAUUAUAUCAUUUUGUUACCAGAUAUUUCUAGUUGGAAAUUGUUUGAUUUUCGGACCAGUAAAAUGUUUCUUUGGGGACGAGACAAGUAGUCCUUGAAUAUUUUUUAGGUGCAGAAAAUCUGGUUGCUAAACCCAUUAUCCUUGUGCUAUUGACAUCAAUUCACGGCCAAAAAUCUAGUCCCUAAAGUAAAUUAUGGACCAGCCUGCAAGUCUGAACAUCCUCACUUUGGCACCAAAAAUAUGAUCCAUAAAAGUGUUUUAAGAACCAGUAUUAACCCAAAAACUAUAUAGGACCAGCCACUCAUUCCCGUCGCUAAUGACCUUUAGAGGCCGAGCAUAUAAGGACGAGCUGGCAACCAGAAUUUCUGGUCCCCAUUCACUUUUAGGGAUCAUAAUUCUACUUUUAGGGACCAGUUUUCCCUUCGCUAGUAAGCAGUUUUCUUGUAGUGGUAGUUGUUGUGUUAUUGGAAGGAAAGGUUGAUAAAUAUACUCUUCGUGUUGAUUGAGAUAGCUUGUAUGAUUCAUGCUAUUGUGGAGUUGAUUUAUCUGAGUCUUGUUAUGACUUUUGGCAUUGUGACUUGUACUUCCUUGGCAUUGAUAUUAUUUAUUGAUCAUGCUUACAUUGGAAUGGUACUUCAUAUUGGGUUCUAGAAUUGAACCAGAUCUUGAGACUCAGCUUGGGUACGGACAUAUAUAUAUAUAUCUUGAGAGUGGGGGUGAGGGAUGUGGCCUAGUUAUGGGCUCGUGAUCCGAGGUCAGUUCCGGAGCGAGUGGUACAUGGACGCCAUGGGUCCUCAGCGGGUCAUGACUAUCUUGCGAACAAGGCCUUUAGCAUGUGUUUACGGUUGAGAUACUUAUCAUUGGUUGUAUUGCAUUGGACAUCAUCUUAUUCCUGUGAUUCGUUUUUUAUUGGUUGUUGUUGUUGUUGUGUUGUUGUGCCUGUCUAUCUAUCUUGCUGGUUUUACGAAAGUAUGCAUGAUACUAAUAUUAGUCGGCCUAUGCUAUCUAUCGGUAGAUAGUGUUUGUACUGAUACUACCUUACUGCACUCUUUUUGAGUGCAGAUUGCAUUCCGGAGUUGUCUUUUAGACCUCGUAUCUAGCCUGAGGCUACUUCCUGACCAGAUCUGAGGAUGGUGACGACUCAGGCUGGGGAAGCCAUUGAUGAGGCACCUGAGCUUGCCGCCGGAGGUGCAGCUCGUAGUAGAGGCCAGGUCUGAGGUCGUGGAUGCGUUAGAGGCCAAAGAGCAACACCAGCCAGGGACGGGACUCCUGCGGCUGGUCAGGCUUGUGCUUGAUCAAUUUCCCCCACGCCUCUGAUAGUUCCGGAUGAAGGAGCAGAGUUGAGGCGGCACCAGCUCAGCCAGAUAUUAUAGCUACUCAGUGUUAUCAGAUGUCAUGGUUCAUGUGUUGAACAUGCUGAAUGGAUUAACUGAGGCAGUUGUAUUACCGACUACUCCAGAUGGCCAGGGUGUGAGAUUAGCUGACCAGAUUCCUGACAGAUUCUGUGCUCCAGGAGCGCAGCACGCUGCAGCUGUGGCUCUACGUUUAGAUGAGACUCCCGGACCAGAGAUUAUCCCUAGACCUGUGGCAGGCUCGGUAAUGACCGGUGAAGAGCAUGAUCUAUUUUGGAGGUUCACCAAGAUGAAGCCUCCUGUCUUUUAUGGAACAGAGUCCGAGGAUGCUUAUGAGUUUAGUAUUGAUUGUCAUGGGAGGCUUCACAAAUUGGGGGCGAUUGAGAGCCAUGGUGUAGAGUUUGUGACCUUCUAGCUCUUGGGUGAUGCCAAAUUAUGGUUGAGAGCUUAUGGGGAUUGUAGACCAGCUGGGUUUCCUUCGUUGACUUAGACUCAGUUUUAUUUUGUCUUUUUGGAGAAGUACGUUCUGUGUACAUUUUUAGGGAUAGGAGGUGUGACGACUUCAGUCACAUCGAGUAGGGGAGUUCUUCAGUUGCUGCUAAUGAGGCCCAUUUUCACUCCUUGUCCUGUUAUGCUCUACAGUUGUUGCCUGCUAGGGAUGAGAUAGUUCGUAGGUUUGUGAAAGGGUUGAAUACUGCUUUAUAGUUGUCAGCUCUUCAGCUUGUAGCUAUAGGAGCUUCUUUCCAGGAUGUGGUGGAUUAUGUCACCAUAGUUGAGGGUGUGAGACAGGACAGCCAUGGCAAGUAUGCCAAUAAGAAGGCCCGCAAGGGUGAUAGGUUCAGUGGUACGUUCUUCCGAGGGCAUGGCCACUAUGGACAGAGUUCCUAGGUUUAUUCAGAUCAUCCUAUCCAGUCGACUAUGCAGAUUUCUGUUGAAGGGCCAUCAGGAGCCAGUUAUUACUCUAUGAGUCAACCAGGGGGUUGACAUUCCAGAUUUUCUGACCAUGGUGGUUAUUCUACUUCUGUUCAGCGACCUAUGCUAGACUGUGGAUGAUUCGAGUAUGGCAAGCAGGGGCAUUUCAAGAGGAAUAGUUUCCGACUCAGAUAGAAUGGCUAGAGUGCUCAGUACCAGGCUCCCAAGGCUCCAGUUUCACCAGCUAAAGGAGGAGGAUCUGAUGGUAGGGACCGUGCUAAGACUGGGUUUAGUAGCCACACAUCUAGUGGAGGUUGCACCCAGCCUAGUAGAGGCGGAUCUCAUUCAGACAGAGGUGAACAUCAGCCCGGUAAGAGCAGGCUCAGUUAGGUCAUGCUGAUCGUGGAGGUUCGCAGGCUAGUGGCGGACGGGUUCAUUGGUAUACCUUUCCUAGCAGAUCAGAGGUUGAGGGUUCCGAUGCAGUCAUUACAGGUACAGACGACAGAUUUGCUGACCCGCCUGCCUAGGACAUCUAUUCUGCUAUUUUGGGAGUGCUCUUUUGUCCAGAGCCUAUAUGUUGGUACAGUCUGCUGCUAUUGUAUAUAUGUAUGCUGUUCAGGGCUAUGACGGGGCCCUGUCCCGUCUUAUGAUUCUGUUAUAAUCUGUAGAGGUCUGUAGACAUACUUGUGUGGGUUUUGUAUAUGUUUUGGGAUGAUAUGAUCUGUGACAGCCUUAUCGGCUCCGAUGUACUAUGUCGGUUCAUUUAUGAUGAUUACUAACGCCAAUUGA
Molecule: long non-coding RNA, 5932 nt
Organism: Lycium barbarum (goji berry)
Lineage: Eukaryota; Viridiplantae; Streptophyta; Magnoliopsida; Solanales; Solanaceae
Exons: 7
Source: RefSeq, a predicted model, not a curated record